Molecule: long non-coding RNA, 894 nt
Filed under: Triticum aestivum (bread wheat)
Lineage: Eukaryota; Viridiplantae; Streptophyta; Magnoliopsida; Poales; Poaceae
Description: long non-coding RNA (TAES_LNC017656)
Source: RNAcentral
UCACUCUGACGCCUCCUACCCUGCCCUUUCGGUGUCAGCUUCCUCUUCGGUUCCGUCAUACGUAAGCUACUGGUUCUUCUCUUUCUCUCUCUCUCUCUCUCUCUCUCUCUCUCUCUCUCUCUGCCAUGCUCUGUGCUCAUGACCAUAGAGCCAUGGUAAAUGAAAUGAACAAGGGUCAUAUACUUUUUUAUAGUAUUGGAAAUGUAUGUAAAUAAACUUGACUCUUUUUAAUGAAUAAAUAUCAAAAUAAUAAACAACGAUAUCUUUUAUAUUUUUUCUUAAAAAAUAUCUUUUAUUGUUUUAUGGUGGCCAUUGAGCUAUGGGCUCACUGUGGGUGCCUGCCUUCGAGCCGGUGAUUCAGUCAUGGUGGUGGUCGUUGAGCCGUGGUGAAUCUCAUGAUGGCCAUUGUGCCAUGGCAAGCUCUAGGGUGUGGGCUCUCGUGAUGGGCUGUGUGUGAUCCCAACUUCUCGCGUACAAUCGUCUUGGUGUUUCGAAAAAAAGAUAAAAACACGUUACAAACAUGUUUUCUCCUUGUUGGACUAAAUUUUGGGCUGUGUGGACAAUCAUUGCUUGGUUUAUGUUUGUUGAUGCUAGAGGAGCUGUUCCCACUACAUGUUGUGUACAAAUUUCUAGUCUUUACGGAGUCCAGUCUUUAAUAAGCUCCCAAGUCCCAACUAUUUUGUUUGUUUUCUUUAACACGAGUAUCAUUUUGCAUGCAGGCUGCACGAGCUAGUGGCCAGUAAUGCUGUUGUUGGCAACCUGGAGACAACAACUGCACCAACAAUCUGGUUUAAUUCACCUCCACAUGGAGACAACUCCAGCACCAAUAAGGCUGUUGUUGGCCCGUAGGCAGGUGCUCUUGAAUCUUUGGUGCAACUAACACCAUUCUCCCAA